ACAGUUACCACGCAGUAGCAGCUGAAACACUCUUGGAACAGUUUCUCCAUGUUGAAGAAGACAACAGCUUUGGUGUGUUGAGCAGCACAUGGCAGCAGGAUCUGCAAAAGAAUAACUCAACAAAAACAAGAGCAUUCAUCUAAAAUCAAGGUGAACAUCAGAUGAAGACUAGCAAAUGCUGAUGAGGUGUCCAAGACUAACAUGGAAAUGGCCAGUGGCACAAAAAUGAAAACUGAUGGUUUCUUCAAGGUAGGUUCCUCAAUACUGCAGCUCAGUCUGAGCUGUAGGUGAGUGGAUUCAUUUACUACCAUAUUGGUUACCACGGGGACAUAAAACUCUGUGUGUCUGCUAAAGAGUCACCCUUUAUAAGUCUUACUCUCAAGAUGAAGUCAUUCAAGUGAUCCUGGGCUUGGCUCCUAUGCUGUUCCAGGCUUUCUGAGUUUAUUUGCAGCUGAACUUUUUCCAUCUUUCUGUAGAUAUGAUGAAACAAGUUGGAGGUUUCUUCACUGGUUAUGGCUCCCUAUUUUUUGACACACUGCUUCCAACUUAGGAUGUUCUGUGAUUCUAAGAUUCUAUGAUUAUUCAUUUUUGUUGCAUUGAUAGUCUUUGAGUGGUGUUCAUAGAAUUUGUGGCCUGGAGAAAGGAACGCAUCAGUAGGUAUGCCUACCUGGCAAAGUCUGCCUAACAUCUCUCCUUAUAACUUGGUACUAGCUAUGGAUUUUGCAAGUGCAGAAGGGGCCGGAUUUUGCUAAUGAGAGUUCAUUAACUCCUUUGAUUUAGUAACAGCAAAAGUAGUUUUCUGAGACAGAAAAAAGUGUAAUCUGAGCUAAGGAGGCCUUGUGAAGUAAGCAAAGAACAACAGAAGGUGGAAAGAUGGGGCAAAACUUCUAUUUCUUUUUUGUUUGUUUGUUUGUUUGUUUGUUUUUAGGUAUUAUUCCAAAUUCUUGUUGACUUUAACAAGAUUGUUUUAAUUUGUGUCAGGCUGCACAAAUGUCAGAGUUCUUCAACAACAGAAUAGAUAAGAAGGGAAUCAUCUGGAGCCGUAUUCAAUGUUUGAACGCUCUCUCAGCAAAAGGGAAGAACUUUUAGUGAUAUUUAUUGUGGAGAAACUUAAAAUUAAAGUAUAUUGGUCCUUAAAAUGGCGAUUGAAUAGCAAAAAGUUAGCAUAUUCUAGCUUUAUUACUUGUGGAACGGUACAGAAACCUGCUCUGGAUGCAAGUGCGGAAAUGGGAAUUUUACCAUUGGUUUUAAUAUAUGUAAAAUUCAGCCCUGUCUCUUUAGCUUCUUUCCUACACUGGGUUGGUUAUUGAUCCAGACCAGGUGAUGAGCCAAAUGAAGUUUUAAAAUAUUUAAAAUGUGUGAAAGAGAAGAUAAUAAGCAUACACUAUUUUUCCUAGGGAACGUCUAGAUGUUACUAUUAAAAGAGACUGACAAAAUGUGUAAUCCAAACAUUUGUGUCCCAACAGACAGUUCAAAUUGAUUCUAAAUAUGGAAAGUUUGUAGAUCAUCCAAAACCAAGUGAAAAUCUGAGAAUCUGGAUUCUGCUUUGCAUUUUGGAAAUGUUUUCCCAGUUUGGGACGCAGCCUGGUCUGGAAGAAUGCUCAGCACGAGGAAUCAGGAAUGACUGGGGAACCUGCCAGUGACCAGCUGCGUAGCCUUGGGCAGUCAUUCAGCUCCUCAUCUCGCUUCCGCCUCGCACAAAGUGAAGCUCAGUGCAUGCAGAGGGUGAGAAGCUGGAGAGCAGCGAGACAGGGUCCUUGCUGUCUUUCUUGAGCCUGCCUUCACGUGGAACAGCAAUGUCAUGGUUCUGCAGGCACUUGGCUCCACCUUGCUCAGGGAAAUAGCAAGAGCCACACUUGGCAAGUUCAACAUUUUAAAAACAAACAACCAAAAAGCCCUUUACAACUGUCAGCAAACUUACCCUUAAUGAUCUAAGAUUGCCUAAUGCGUCAGAUUGGUUUCCUUUUCCAGAUGUAAGAAAGGUGGUGACUUAUGAAGGAGAGGUUCUCACUUGUGCUUUUGUGACUUCAAAGACUGAAUCUGGUAGAAAAUGAAUCAGACUUGCGCUUCUGUGUCAGUAUCAUUUGUGAAAACUCCACCUAAGAGAUCUCUCUACAGACAGAACUGGAGCAAAACCAAAAGCGAAGCCCGAGCCUCGCAGUGGCCAGGCUGCGUGCUAACCGUCAGACAGAAGCUCCAUCAGGCAUUAAUAGAAGAAACUGCUCAUGUGGAAGUUGUACGAUGGCAAUACUACAUCCCAGAGGACAAUUUCUGUUAUUUGUUAUGUAGCUUCAACUCUACUAAGCCUAAACCCACAUCCGGCAAAGCUUUUCCCAGAUUACUCUGGCUCUUGUGCAGGCUAGAUGCAGUGCUUCGUGUCAUUGCAGAGGCUGGGUCAUUCUUCAUGUCUCAGGGCUGGAUUUCAGCGGGUGCAACUUGCUAUCCUUAGUGGCUUUGUUCUGGACAUCUUCAGAUUUGUAUGUGCCUAAUGUAUUUUAUCUGGUUUCAUAGCCUUGGAAGAAAAAAUGUCUUCCUAGUCCCUAGUAAACCCUUUUUCUUUACUGAAAAUCUUCAUGCUUUAAGUAUCUGAAUUUUAAUCUGUUAUGCCUCCUAUUGCCACCCCCUUCUUCCUCUAGCAACUUCUGGAAACUUUCCAACAGACAAUAAACCAAAAAAUCUAGGCUGCCAGUUACUAAUUCAGGUUCACUGAAUGUGAUGAUAACCCUUAGCAAAGUUCCUCCAGCACUUGCACUCCACCUUGAAAAGACACACUGUCUGUCUCUUAUGCCAGCCUUUGCUCUGGGACACUGGAAGUGCCAUCAGGAAACUGCCUGUAUCACUGCUGACACCAUGUAAAACUUCGUUUCUGAUCUGCUGUGCUUCACUGCAGCGUCAGCCGUGCACUUCCACUGCCACUGAAGGUUUACUUACCUUUCUAUUCUCCAUUCAAGCGCUAACUAGGUUUCACCUCUAAAAACAUAAAGAGAAGAAGGUAAGGCACAGACAAAAGCCUGUCUUCUCUCUGAUCUGCCUGAAAAAGCGAAAGGGUCAAAAGCAGAUGAUGAGUGUAUUUCCAAAUCUGAAUGCUUUACUUAAUAAUUACAUAUUACAAUAAUUAUGGUUUGGGAAUUUUGUUUGUUUUUUAAACAAAGUUCUGCUCAGUGUUGUAACUGAUCUAACUUUGCGAGGAGCUUAUCUUCACUUAUACUCACUGGGGAAUGAUGGUGAAACAUGUUGCUUGAAAUCCUAAGUACUAUUCAAUAUAUUUUAGUGGAACUGGGGUCUUUUCUACAACUGGAGAGGCUGUGACUAAGUACUUUAGAUGAAAUCCUGAUGCUGUAGAUGACAGACCGAAGUUUUGUUGUUGUUGUGAAGUAGAUUAGGAAUUUACUCCUAGAAGAAUGAGAAUUAGAAUGGUAUUCAGGGGAAAUAAUAAUUUUUUACUUGUGUGUGAUUUUUUUUUCCUAAUUGUGCUAAUCUUAGAAUGGAUCCAUUUAUACAAAAUAUCUGAUUAUUUGGUUGCCAUGAUGGUUUGAAUGGCGAGCGCGAUGACUAAGGAUUGAUGACCAAGGAGGCCUUUCUUUCUUCUGUUUGGAAAAGAGUUUGUGAGCUCUGCCUGUGUUCUAACCCAGUCCAAAACCACUAAAGAAGUAGAUUUGUUGGUAGAUAUGUUGUCACUAAAAGGUUACACUGUAGAUUGCCACUCCACUGUACACAGGAAGGGACAGAUGUCAUAAUGACAUGGAGAAUUAAAUAUUGAGAGCACAACACAGAACAACAUUCUGAUUUCAUUUGCUUUUGUACAGCUGUACAGAGGCACGUCACAGCAACACCGAGUGGCUGUUUUUCUCCAUAUUCAGAUGGCUUAUAUCUGUUACACUGUACUGUACAUUUUUGCAGCAGUGUGCAGGAACCUGGAGUUCAACAGCCUAAGCUGAUGUUCAACUCACUCUGCUCCAUCUUACAUAGAGCUGACAGAAGCAACAUCUUGUACUGGUCUGUCUGAAGGGUGCUGUUACUGAGACUAACUUGCCUGCAACAGUCUAUUUCUGUUGCAGCGUGUUGUAUACCAAGCAAGGUAGCCUCAUUUGAACUGCUUUUGGGGGUUAAAGAAAGGCCCAGGCUAACUCUUGAGACAUGCCCAACAGCUGUUUCAGGGAGCACCGGUUGGCUUGGGCCAACACCACGUCAAGAAUCAAUCUAAACCCUUGGUGGCACAGGCCUUCAUGUUCUGGAACCCAGGAACAUUCUUAAAACAGCUAGAUAUUUACUAUUGGUGAAUCUCAAGUGUUACCUGGCACAAAAUGUGCCUUGAUGAAUGUAUUUUUUUUAAUAUUGAAAACAAAGGUUUUUUAAAACCUCCCAGCUGUGUCAAUAAAUGCAGAUUUGAUUGCCUUAAAGGUGCACAAGUGUAGCAGGAACAUCCAAAUGUGGUGCUGAUGAGACUAUGAGGAAAACAAAAACAGUGAGAGCUCUCCUGGCACCCCAGAAUGUGAGCGGUUAUUGAAGCUUUCGACACCUGAGUUGAUGAUAGGAAUAACUAAAUGUGCCACUUUGUCAUGUCUGUGCACUGAGUGCCUUUACAGGAGGGGCUGUGUGGUCCGUCAGGAAAAAUAAAUGACAGGAAAAAAUAGAAUGGAGAAGGAAUGAUACUUAAUUUAGAAAGGAUUUACAGUGCAAAUUAUUUUCCCCCGCAAAAGGUACAACAUUCAAAUUUUCAACUUUUUAUGGUGGUUUGAAAUAGGAAUUGCUUUUGAUCGUCUUGAAAAUUGUGUUAGAGCAGGAAAACACGUAGCUCUGAGCAAAAUACUACAACAAACCUCCCAAAAGCCAUUCUGCAGCCCACCAAAAGUUCUGAAAAAGACUUGCAGGAAAAGUUGACUUUUUUUUUUUUGCAGGAUAAGUUUGCAUGACUAAAAGAGCGUUGAAAGAUAGCCAAGUAAAGGCUCAAGGAGCUGCAACUGUGGUGAGGGAAGCGGGUGGACAGAUCUCUGUAUACAACAGUGCUAGGAGAUGUGGAAUUGCUAAAAUAGCCCCUGCCUAAUGUAAUCACCUUACAAAGAAUGUUUGAGAGGCAUUUUGUCAGCCAAAUAUAAACAAAGGCUACAUUUGAAA
Molecule: long non-coding RNA, 5115 nt
Organism: Gallus gallus (chicken)
Lineage: Eukaryota; Metazoa; Chordata; Aves; Galliformes; Phasianidae
Exons: 2
Source: RefSeq, a predicted model, not a curated record